UCUGACGGUGCACACCGCGUGAGUGACGAAGGCCUCAGGGUCGUAAAGCUCUGUUAUCAAGGAAGAAAACGUACUGUGCGAAUAGAGCAGUACCUUGCCGGUACUUGAUCAGAAAGCCCCGGCUAACUACGUGCCAGCAGCCGCGGUAACACGUAGGGGGCGAGCGUUGUCCGGAAUUAUUGGGCGUAAAGGGCACGCAGGCGGCCUUUUAAGUCUGAUGUGAAAGCCCGUGGCUCAACCACGGAAUGGCAUUGGAAACUGAAAGGCUUGAGUGCAGAAGAGGAGAGCGGAAUUCCACGUGUAGCGGUGAAAUGCGUAGAUAUGUGGAGGAACACCAGUGGCGAAGGCGGCUCUCUGGUCUGUAACUGACGCUGAGGUGCGAAAGCGUGGGGAGCGAACAGGAUUAGAUACCCUGGUAGUCCACGCCGUAAACGUUGAGUGCUAGGUGUUAGGGGUUUCGAUACCCUUAGUGCCGAAGUAAACACAUUAAGCACUCCGCCUGGGGAGUACGACCGCAAGGUUGAAACUCAAAGGAAUUGACGGGGGCCUGCACAAGCGGUGGAGCAUGUGGUUUAAUUCGAUGCAACGCGAAGAACCUUACCAGGUCUUGACAUCUUUUGCCCGCUCUGGAGACAGAGU
This 639-nucleotide ribosomal RNA is filed under the name Salsuginibacillus sp. 30P6. Its description in RNAcentral is "bacterial SSU rRNA". It matches the Rfam family "Bacterial small subunit ribosomal RNA", at positions 382 to 1012 of the family's 1533-position model. The record is from RNAcentral. Lineage: Bacteria; Bacillati; Bacillota; Bacilli; Caryophanales; Bacillaceae.